RNAcentral lists this small RNA (573 nucleotides) under Pongo abelii (Sumatran orangutan). RNAcentral's name for it is "processed transcript". Lineage: Eukaryota; Metazoa; Chordata; Mammalia; Primates; Hominidae. The record is from RNAcentral.
AGAUUUAUUUCCUAAAUCGUGGUGCACCCAGCAAAGCAACAAAGCUGUCUGGCUCCCAUUCUUGUCCACUGGAAUGAGCUCAAGUCCCUCGAGCUAUCGGCAGGACCCUCAUCCCCCGUUACUUUAGCACUGUGUUUGAAGGAGGGGUGACCGACCUGUAUUACAUUCUCAAACACUCGAAAGAGUCAUACCACAACUCAUCCAUCACGGUGGACUGCGACCAGUGUACCAUGGUCACCCAGCACGGGAAGCCCAUGUUUACCAAGGUAUGUACAGAAGGCAGACUGAUCUUGGAGUUCACCUUUGAUGAUCUCAUGAGAAUAAAAACAUGGCACUUUACCAUUAGACAAUACCGAGAGUUAGUCCCGAGAAGCAUCCUAGCCAUGCAUGCACAAGAUCCUCAGGUCCUGGAUCAGCUGUCCAAAAACAUCACCAGGAUGGGGCUAACAAACUUCACCCUCAACUACCUCAGGUUGUGUGUAAUACUGGAGCCAAUGCAGGAACUGAUGUCAAGACAUAAAACUUACAACCUCAGUCCCCGAGACUGCCUGAAGACCUGCUUGUUUCAGAAGU